CCUUUUCCCCUUUUCCCCUUUUCCCCUUUUCCCCCUUUCCCCUUUUCCCCUUUUCCCCUUUUCCCCUUUUCCCCUUUUCCCCUUUUCACCUUUUCUGUUUUUCUGUUUUUCCCAAAAGUUUUAUGUUUUUGACAUUGUGCCUAGUUGUCUGAUAGAGAAAGUUACUGUACUACGACCACACCUACAUAUUGGAGACUUGUUUUAUUACUUUGUUGCAAUUAUUUGUUAGACAAAUUAAAAAAAAACCGACUUUCAAUAUUCCUUUCCCUACAUCGCACAUAGACACACAUACACACAGAUACACAGACACACAGGCACACAGACACACAGACACACAGCACACAGCACACAUACACACAGACACACAGACACACAGACACACAGACACACAGACACAUAGACACACAGGCACACAGUAACACAGACACGCAGACACACAGGCAUACAGACAGACCGUCACACAGACACACAGGCACACAGAUACACAGACACACAGAGGACACGUAAACUUAUAACACCGUUCUUUUUGCGUCGCCAGUUAAAAAUAAUUUCAGUCAUUAAUUUAUCACGGCAGCAGGACUGGUCAUCAUCUCUCGUGUCUCUUUCAAUAUCCCAUUACGUUUUGCACUCUGUUAGUCGCUACCACCGCAAUGUAUUUAUCUCGUAUCUCAAUACAUGUUCAACUCUAUUUCGUCUCGUUCCGUCUUCUGCAAUGUGUCUCGUCUUAUAUUUCCCUCUGCCUGUUUUGUUUCCUGCAACAUCUCUCGUUCCGUUUCCCGCAAUGUUACAUUUUGCGCGACGUAUCAUGUCCCAUUUUUUAGUAAACAGUGUUUACUAAACACAAAUGUAAUUAAAAUUUUCAUGUGCGUCUUUAUAAUUAACUAGAUGUUGCCCGGGGCUUCGCUAUCGUGGGAAUUUUGAGAUAAAAAAUAGCCUGCAGCAAUCUUGGCUAUUGUACAUUUCUAAUGAAUGGUGAAAGAAUUUUUGAAAUCCGUUCGCUAGUUUGAGAUAUUACCCGCCUCAAACAUACAAACUCACAAACGCUUACCAGUUUAUAAUAAUAGUAUAGCAGUAUAUAUAUGAAGUUUCAUAAAUACUUCCAGUACCUAUUCAAUUCAGUCCAUAGAAUUGCAAUUAUCAAAAUCCCCAUAAUCAACUAUUAUUUUUUGCUGACCAGACGUAGACCUUGGUACAAAGGUCGUCUGCGUGGGUACCUCACUCUCAUCUAUUUCUGCCGCCAAACAGCAGUGCUUGAGUUGUUGUGUUCCGGUUAGAAGGGUAAGAGCGGCAAUGUAUUUACAAGGUACUGUGGCAAAAGACCCGAGGCCACAAAGUGCUAACACGCCGCCUAUAGUGUUACAGGCGUCCAUUGACGACGGUAACACUUACCACCAGGUGGGUUGUCUACCUGUUUGCUUGAUUGGUAUAAUUAAAUUUAAAAUAUCAUAUCUUCAAAAAUGAUGAAAUUAACUUGUUACCCCUAUUUCGCCCCUUAAGUACCAUCACAAUCAUCUUCAUCUGCCUCGCGCUGAGCAGAGGCCUUUCAUCUUUUAUGCCAAUCUUCUCUAUCUAUGCUAGUCCAAUACACGUACGACCUGAUUCUUUGAUGAUGUCAUCUGCCCAUCUUGCUACUGGCUUUACAAAACUUUUUUCCCUUAAAUUAGGCCACAAAUCAGUCAACGUUGCUAUCCACCUGCCAUGACUUCGACCUGCCAAGUGUACGGCCGAGUUGCACUUAAGAUUUAUGAUCGUAUCACUAACAUCUUGUACUAUCGAUUCGUUCGGAUGUCUUAAAUCAGGAUACGCGACAAGAGAAGCGUACUGUCUUUAGUAUUUUCAAGCUGCCUUUUUUCCUUUCUCCCUUCCCUCUCUUCCCUGUGAAAGAUUAAGGAAAAGAGCAUUUGCACAUAUUAUACAUGUAAGCAAAAACCCCUUUCAUCAAAAAUCAUAUUAUGAUUUGAGAACGUGUUAACAUCAGACUUCACUUUAAUGAUGUAAUGUUAUUGAAUCUGGUGAUUAUCAGGGUUCCUAUGGAGGAUAAGGCCGAGAUUUGGAUAACAUAUGCAAUUUUUCGCUGGCACAAGUCAAUCGUUGUUUUGGUCUCAGACCAAUAGAUUUAUUAAUGUUUCUGACAUUGUGUCUGGUUGUCUGUUAGCGAAAGUUUUCUUGGUACACACAAAAAUCUUGGUACAUAUACAGAGUUCUUUCAAAUGUGUCCUAUUCUAGUAUUCGUGUAUAAAUCAAAGUGAAUAUUUAGCUUAGGUCUCUGUGGAGCAUUUGGAUCGGGAAGUUAAGGAUAGGAUCUAAUGCAAUUACUUUUGCUGGCACAAGUUAGUCGUUAUAUUAGUCUCAGAUCAACAUAUUUAUUAGUGUUUCUGACAUUGUGUCCAGUUAUCUGUUAGCGAAAGUUGUUGUACAACGAUCACUCCUACAUACUGAAUUAAAUACAAAUGAGUCUUCAAACUCAAAAUUAUACAUUAUAUACGACCUAGUUAGUUGAUCACACAUUCGCCCUAAUGUAUCAUUUUUAUGAGACCAGGUAGCACCCCAUCACCUCAGGCUAACCCGGCUCCCUUAUACAACAUAUCGUAAAAAUACUUGAAUGAAAUUUAUCGAGUAAAUAUUUUUGAAAUUCUGACAGAAUUCAAGAUUGCAUUUCAAACAACCUAGGUACAACGGUAAUGACGUCUAGCGAAGCGGCGACAUAAGCAUUACAAAAACCAUCGUUGCCAUUACUUAGAUCUUAGAAUACGAUAGAAGGAUGAAGAAACAUAUUUUAAUCGCUACCUCAAAGUCACGCGAAUUAUCAAUCAUAUUUUUAUAUACUUAAAUCACUUGUGAAUAUCCGGUUAUGUAUACGACUGAAGAAAUCAAUGGCAUUUCACCUAUUAAGGUGUAAGAUGUAUACCUUAAAUAAGAUGUACCAAUGCUUGAAUAGGACUUUAAAUUAUUGAACAUCACUGUUACCUAUGCCUACCCUUCGUGUCUCAACGAAUACUCUCUGAUGACCUGGUAUUGUUUGCAAAUACAUUUGAUUUCGAAAUAUCUCUGUUAAAUAAAUUAAAACAUGAACUUUGUAUUUUUUUUGGUCAGUGUCAUUACUUUGCUAGAACGGUGGGACGUCAUCAAGAACUGGCUGUGACGUACAGCUCCGUGCGGGGUGGGGCACGGACCCCUUGCCGUACGUCCAGACUACCUCGGACGUAUCAGUGCUGUUUAUAUUGUUAUAAACAAUAUUGUCAUCAAAGGUCUAUUCAGCCAUAUAUGAGACCAGGUAGCGCAUUCGGGCUCUUGAGCUUAACACGGCUGUCUUGUAUAAGAUGUCGUAAAAUUACUUGAAUGGGACUGGAUUUUCAUCAACAUCUAUGGUACCUAUGUGUCUCACUUGAGACUCGCAGAUGAUUUGGCAAUUAUUGCAGACAGUGUAAUAGAAAAAAUAUCGAGUAAAAAUACUUUUGUUUUUCUAACAGCAUAACGUUGAAGACGGAAUGGAACUGAUUAGUAUACUGGAUUGAUUGUAUCUCUAGAAAAUGAGAAAGUGGCAAAUGGAGACCAACGUAAUGAAUUGAGAGAAACUUAUCGACUUUUGAAAUUACAAGGCAAAAUCAGGCUGAGACGAGGAGCUCUAUAUAUGUGGAACUUCUGAGAUAUUCAUAUUGUAUUGAUGGUGUGCAAAUUAUCAUAGUCAUCGUAAGUGUAAUGGCUGCCUAAUGUAGGAAAUCCAGUUUGGUUUCCAUUAUAUUCCAAGGUCGAUUAUUCUUUAGCGAAAAGUACGAUGUGAGACAACGUGGCAAAUUUUCACCCAGGUUUUUUUACGGCAACCUUGUAUAAGAUGUUCCAAUGCUUGGAUGUGGCUCUGAAUUAUUGAAUAUCAGUUUUGCCUAUGCCUACCAGGUAGCACAUCGUCACUCGGGCUUAACACGGCUGCCUUGUAUAAGAUGUCGUAAAAUCACUUGAAUGGGACUGGAUUUUCAUCAACAUCUAUGGUACCUAUGUGUCUCACCUGCAACUCGCAGAUGCCUUUGCAGUUAUUGCAGAAAAUUAAAAGGAUAAAUCACCGAGAAAAAAUAUUUUAAAUAUUCUAACAGCAUAACAUUGAAGUCAGAAUGGAACUGGUUUAGACGUUUUGGUAGAUAUACUGGAGUGAUUAGAUUGGGACGGAUUAAGUGGAUUAGACACAUUAGACUCUCAGACAAUGAAAUUAAAAAAAUAUCGAGUAACAAUAUCUUUGACAUUAUAACAGGACAACGUUCAAGACGGAAUUACCCUGAUUAUGACAUUUCGAUAUACUAGAUCACAGAAUAGGAUAGAAGGAAGAAAACUUAUAUUUUUAAAUAGAUUAUAUUUUUGUAUAAAAUACUAGUGAAUAUCCGGUUUUGUAUACGACCGAAGAGAUCUAAGAAAUGAUAUUAGAACGUCUGCAUGAUAAUAUUGGCCGAUCAAUGGUAUUCCAUCUAUUAAAAGCGAUGUGAGACAAGGUGGUAAAUUUUCACCCAGGUUUUUUACGGCAACCUUGUAUAAGAUGUACCAAUGCUUGAAUAUGACUCUAAAUUAUUGAACAUCACUGUUACCUAUGCCUACCCUUCGUGUCUCAACUAAUACUCUCUGAUGACCUGGUAUUGUUUGCAAAUACAUUUGUUUUCGAAAUAUCUCUGUUAAAUAAAUUAAAACAUGAACUUUGUAUUUUUUUUGGUCAGCGUCAUUACUUUGCUAGAACGGUGGGACGUCAUCAAGAACUGGCUGUGACGUACAGCUCCGUGCGGAGUGGGGCACGGCCCCCUUGCCGUACGUCCAGACGACCUCGGACGUAUCAGUGCUGUUUAUAUUGUUAUAAACAAUAUUGUCAUCAAAGGUCUAUUCAGCCAUAUAUGAGACCAGGUAGCGCAUCAUCACUUGGGCUCUUGAGCUUAACACGGCUGUCUUGUAUAAGAUGUCGUAAAAUUACUUGAAUGGGACUGGAUUUUCAUCAACAUCUAUGGUACCUAUGUGUCUCACUUGAGACUCGCAGAUGAUUUGGCAAUUAUUGCAGACAGUGUCAUGGAAAAAUUAUCGAGUAAAAAUACUUUUGUUAUUCUAACAGCAUAACGUUGAAGCCGGAAUGGAACUGAUUAGUAUACUGGAUUGAUUGUAUCUCUAGCUGAUUUGUGGUAGCCAAGGACCCUAAGAAAAUGAGAAAGUGGCAAAUGGAGACCAACGUAGUGAAUUGAGAGAAACUUAUCGACUUUUGAAAUUACAAGGCAAAAUCAGGCUGAGACGAGGAGCUCUAUAUAUGUGGAACUUCUGAGAUAUUCAUAUUGUAUUGAUGGUGUGCAAAUUAUCAUAGUCAUCGUAAGUGUAAUGGCUGCCUAAUGUAGGAAAUCCAGUUUGGUUUCCAUUAUAUUCCAAGGUCGAUUAUUCUUUAGCGAAAAAUACGAUGUGAGACAACGUGGCAAAUUUUCACCCAGGUUUUUUACGGUAACCUCGUAUAAGAUGUACCAAUGCUUGAAUGUGGCUCUGAAUUAUUGAACAUCAGUUUUGCCUAUGCCUACCAGGUAGCACAUCGUCACUCGGGCUUAACACGGCUGCCUUGUAUAAGAUGUCGUAAAAUUACUUGAAUGGGACUGGAUUUUCAUCAACAUCUAUGGUACCUAUGUGUCUCACCUGCGACUCGCAGAUGCCUUUGCAGUUAUUGCAGACAAUUAAAUGGAAAAAUCAUCGAGUAAAAAUAUUUUACAUAUUCUAACAGCAUAACGUUGAAGUCAGAAUGGAACUGGUUUAGACGUUUUGGUGGAUAUACUGGAGUGAUUAGAUUGGGACGCAUGAAGUAGAUUAGACACAUUAGACUCUCAGACAAUGAAAUUAAAAAAAAUAUCGAGUAACAAUGUCUUUCACAUUAUAACAGGACAACGUUCAAGACGGAAUUACCCUGAUUAUGACAUUUCUAUAUACUAGAUCACAGAAUAGGAUAGAAGGAAGAAAACUUAUAUUUUUAAAUAGAUUAUAUUUUUGUAUAAAAUACUAGUGAAUAUCCGGUUUUGUAUACGACCGAAGAGAUCUAAGAAAUGAUAUUAGAACGUCUGCAUGAUAAUAUUGGCCGAUCAAUGGUAUUCCAUCUAUUAAAAGCGAUGUGAGACAAGGUGGUAAAUUUUCACCCAGGUUUUUUACGGCAACCUUGUAUAAGAUGUACCAAUGCUUGAAUAUGACUCUAAAUUAUUGAACAUCACUGUUACCUAUGCCUACCCUUCGUGUUUCAACUAAUACUCUCUGAUGACCUGGUAUUGUUUGCAAAUACAUUUGAUUUCGAAAUAUCUCUGUUAAAUAAAUUAAAACAUGAACUUUGUAUUUUUUUGGUCAGUGUCAUUACUUUGCUAGAACGGUGGGACGUCAUCAAGAACUGGCUGUGACGUACAGCUCCGUGCGGGGUGGGGCACGGACCCCUUGCCGUACGUCCAGACGACCUCGGACGUAUCAGUGCUGUUUAUAUUGUUAUAAACAAUAUUGUCAUCAAAGGUCUAUUCAGCCAUAUAUGAGACCAGGUAGCGCAUCAUCACUUGGGCUCUUGAGCUUAACACGGCUGUCUUGUAUAAGAUGUCGUAAAAUUACUUGAAUGGGACUGGAUUUUCAUCAACAUCUAUGGUACCUAUGUGUCUCACUUGAGACUCGCAGAUGAUUUGGCAAUUAUUGCAGACAGUGUAAUGGAAAAAUUAUCGAGUAAAAAUACUUUUGUUAUUCUAACAGCAUAACGUUGAAGCCGGAAUGGAACUGAUUAGUAUACUGGAUUGAUUGUAUCUCUAGCUGAUUUGUGGUAGCCAAGGACCCUAAGAAAAUGAGAAAGUGGCAAAUGGAGACCAACGUAGUGAAUUGAGAGAAACUUAUCGACUUUUGAAAUUACAAGGCAAAAUCAGGCUGAGACGAGGAGCUCUAUAUAUGUGGAACUUCUGAGAUAUUCAUAUUGUAUUGAUGGUGUGCAAAUUAUCAUAGUCAUCGUAAGUGUAAUGGCUGCCUAAUGUAGGAAAUCCAGUUUGGUUUCCAUUAUAUUCCAAGGUCGAUUAUUCUUUAGCGAAAAGUACGAUGUGAGACAACGUGGCAAAUUUUCACCCAGGUUUUUUACGGCAACCUUGUAUAAGAUGUACCAAUGCUUGAAUAGGACUCUAAAUUAUUGAACAUCACUGUUACCUAUGCCUACCCUUCGUGUCUCAACUAAUACUCUCUGAUGACCUGGUAUUGUUUGCAAAUACAUUUGAUUUCGAAAUAUCUCUGUUAAAUAAAUUAAAACAUGAACUUUGUAUUUUUUUGGUCAGUGUCAUUACUUUGCUAGAACGGUGGGACGUCAUCAAGAACUGGCUGUGACGUACAGCUCCGUGCGGGGUGGGGCACGGACCCCUUGCCGUACGUCCAGACGACCUCGGACGUAUCAGUGCUGUUUAUAUUGUUAUAAACAAUAUUGUCAACAAAGGUCUAUUCAGCCAUAUAUGAGACCAGGUAGCGCAUCAUCACUCGGGCUCUUGAGCUUAACACGGCUGUCUUGUAUAAGAUGUCGUAAAAUUACUUGAAUGGGACUGGAUUUUCAUCAACAUCUAUGGUACCUAUGUGUCUCACUUGAGACUCGCAGAUGAUUUGGCAAUUAUUGCAGACAGUGUAAUGGAAAAAUUAUCGAGUAAAAAUACUUUUGUUAUUCUAACAGCAUAACGUUGAAGCCGGAAUGGAACUGAUUAGUAUACUGGAUUGAUUGUAUCUCUAGCUGAUUUGUGGUAGCCAAGGACCCUAAGAAAAUGAGAAAGUGGCAAAUGGAGACCAACGUUUUGAAUUGAGAGAAACUUAUCGACUUUUGAAAUUACAAGGCAAAAUCAGGCUGAGACGAGGAGCUCUAUAUAUGUGGAACUUCUGAGAUAUUCAUAUUGUAUUGAUGGUGUGCAAAUUAUCAUAGUCAUCGUAAGUGUAAUGGAUGCCUAAUGUAGGAAAUCCAAUUUGGUUUCCAUUAUAUUCCAAGGUCGAUUAUGCUGUAGUUAUAAAAACGAUGUGAGACAGAGUGGCACAUUUUCACCCAGGUUUUUUACGGCAACCUUGUAUAAGAUGUUCCAAUGCUUGAAUGGGGCUCUGAAUUAUUAAACAUCAGUUUUGCCUAUGCCUUGGGCUUAACACGGCUGACUUGUAUAAGAUGUCGUAAAAGUACUUGAAUGGGACUGAAUUUUCAUCAACAUCUAUGGUACUCGCAGAUGAUUUGGCAAUUAUUGCAGACAACGAAAUUGGAAAAUCAUGAAGUAAAAAUAUUUUUGAUAUUCUUACAACAUAACGUUGAAGUCGGAAUGGAACUGGUUAAGACAAUUUGGUAUACUGGAGUGAUUGAAUUGGGACGAAUUAGAUGGAUUAGACACCUUAGACUCGCAGACAAUGAAAUUGAAAAAUCAUCUAGCAAAAGUAUCUUUCACAUUAUAACAGCACAACGUUGAAAAUGGAAUGACUCUGAUUAUGGCAUUAUGAUAUACUAGUUCUUAGAAGAGGAUAGAAGGAAGAAAACACAUAUUUAAAUAGAUCAUAUUUUUAAAUAAAUCACUAGUGAAUAUCCAGUUAUGUAUACGACCGAAGAGAUAUAAGAAAUGAUAUAGAAACGUCUGCAUGGCAUUAUACCUAUUAAAAGCGCUUCUGUGACACAAGAUGGCAAAUUUUCACCCAGGUGUUUUACGGCAACCUUGUAUCGGAUGUAUGCUUGAAUGGGACUCUAAAUUAUUGAACAUCAAUAUCGCCUAUGCCUACCCUACGUGUUUCAUCUAAUAUUCUCAAACGGACCAGUAUUAUUUGCGAAUACACUUGUUUUUGAAAUAUAUCGGUGAAAUAAUUCAAAACGUGAACUUUGUAUUUUUCUUUGGUCAGUGCCAUUACUUUGCGAGAACGGUGGGACGUCAUCAAGAACUGGCUGUGACGUACAGCUCCGUGCGGGGUGGGGCACGGACCCCUUGCCGUACGUCCAGACGACCUAGGACGUAUCAGCACUUGACUGUUUAUAUUGUUAUAAACAAUAUUUUCAUCGAAGGACUAUAUAGCCAUAUAGGAGACCAGGGUAGCACAUCAUCACUUAGGCUUAACACGGCUGCCUGGUAUAUAAGAUGUCGUAAAAUUACUUGAAUGGGACUGGAUUUUCAUCAACAUCUGUGGUACCGAUGUGUCUCACCUGAGACUCGCAGAUGACUCGGAAAUUAUUGCAGACAGUGAAAUGGAAAAAUUAUCGAGUAAAAAUAUUUUGGAUAUUCUAACAGCAUAACGUUGAAGACGGAAUGGAACUGAUUAUGAUUAGUAUACUGAAGUGAUUGAAUAUCUAGCUGAUUUGUGAACCUUGAGAAAAUGAGAAAGGGGCAAAUGGAGACCUACAGAGAAUGGAGAGAAAGAUAGUGUAAAUGAACAUACCGGCUUUUCGAAUUACAAGGGGAAAUCAGGCUGAGACGAGGAGAUCGAUAUCUGUGGAUCUUGUGUGAUGUUCCUAUUGAAUACAAUUGAAUUGGUGUGCAAAUUAUCAUAGUCACCAGUUAUCGGACAUCAGUUUAAUAGCUGCCUAAUAUGGGGAAUCCAGUUUAAUUUCCACUAAAUUCCAAGGCUCAAUUCAUUGUUUGUUCUCCUUUUACCACGAAAUGUUAGGCAUGAAAGAAAAUUGCUCGACCAAAUCAAAAUCUUGCACUUCUUACACUACUGUUGACCAACAAUUUGGUUUUAAAUUAUAAAUUUUGUAAUUAUCAAAUUAUUUUCUUUGCCUCAAAAUGUAUUCUUGUCAACAACAAACCUCGUAAUAUAUUAAUUAUAUGAUUUCCAUACCUACUUACUUCCUGUGAACUCUUUCCUGUCUCCUUAUGUUGAAACGAGGAAACCUGCUCACAGCUGUAAUCGUCGAGAUUGUGAACUCGUUACUUCGUUCCUCUGCUGCUCAAAUGCAUCGUGCCCGUGCUCAUUUUCCCUUCACAUCACAUGGGCCCACGUGCAUGUGUAGAUAUUAAGUGUGGCGACAUCAGCAGGAGAAAAAUUUCCUUGAGAGAUUUUAAGCAGAUGUCGUUAAUGGUAGCGUUUGGCCAAUUUGCAUAUUCUGACUUCAACCAAGUCAAGUUAAGUAAUUUAAUUUGGCUUUCGCCCUGGGAAGGCUGAUUCCAGCUGAGUACACGUCUGUACGCGACAUGAGGAUUGCCCCAUGUUUAGUGGGUUCAAAAUCCUUCCUUUUCUACCUCUCUUCUCUGAACCCGCAGGAGAUUGAGGGGAUCAGGAUAUGCAAAACUCUUUCUAUGAGGAUUGGGUAAGACAGGGGUCUUAACCAACCCUCAGCGAAAGAAUACUUAGUUUUUUUUUUUUUAUUAAAUUGUUCUUGUAACGAACUGUUUUAACGUAAUGCUAACGGUCUGUUCCAGCUUCACUCGUGUAAAACUAUAAUAAAUUUACACCUAAACCUUCCUCAAGAAUUGCUCUACAUAUUGGGCUAUUAGAGAAAGCAAUACAAAAUUCGUCGUGUAGUUUUUGAGUGUAUCGCGUUCAGAUAGCGAGCACUUGUUUUUACAAUUUGUAAGGACUAGCUUCCGCCCGCAGCUUCGCCCGCGUGUAUUUCUCGCGGGAACAGUAUUUUUUCGGGGGUGAAAGGUUACGUCCGUCUCCGUACUUCAAACUACAGUGAUCAAACCGAAUGGUUCAUAACAUAAAUUAACGAAAAGAACAUAAAAUGUUUAUAACAUUGAGGAAAAGUAAUUGAAAAUAAAACAGUUUGUUGUGUAAAUAAUAAUUUAUUUAAUUUAUAUUAAUUUUCUUUUUAAGUCGGGUGAGAAGUAGCGAUCUACUAUGGCAUCGGAUUAUAAAUGCAUUACCUAAAAUUACUCCUCUGAUUGAUAUCUAUUUGAAAAAUGUGAAAUAUACCUGUAAAUCUUGACAUACAUUUGCACAGAGCUGUAUUUCUCUAACGAAGCACAUCUGACACACCUAUCGAUAUUGCGUCCGCACAUUUUAUAUAAAAUUUUGCUUUUUCAUAUUAAAUCUUCUUCACUUCAAUAUGUUCGUUUUUAUUAAACACAUUGUGUUCGGCGGAAAAUAUUCGCUAGUAUUGCAUAUUAUAAGUCCAUUGUCUAGAUGAUCGUAUGAGUUUGCACAUGCGAAGCUAUAUGUUUAGUUGGGUAGGCGUGAUUUAUAGUCAACAUGAGCUUUGGCAAUACUGAAUUGAACAUUGAUCACAAUAAAUUAUGUACAUCCGUGCACCGUGGUAUAAACGUUAACAUGUUGACUAUUCAAAUCAUUUUUUUAUAUUUCUUUUAUAUUACUUGUUGAGACGAUCUCAGAAAUGACACAAACAACUAGAAUAACUAACAGUACCUAAUGGCGAGAAAAGUGAUUGGAAAAACAUAGACUAUUUCAUCUUUCUCUCUUCAAACGAUCUAAUGGAAUUAAGUACCAUCAGACCAGAGGUAGACUUUCGUACAAAGGUCGACUGCGUGGGUACCUCUCUCUCACCUUGGUACCAAACAGCAGUGCCUCCGGGACACAGCGAUGUUCCGAUUUGAACUAACCGCCACCUUGACCGGUCGACUACAGUAACGGUGAGAUAGGCAGAUUGAUUACUGGGUACUGUGGCAAAGGAUCUAAGACCACAAAAGACACUGCAAGCGUCAAAAGUACAUUAUAGUUAUCUGUGACACUUCUGAUAUCUUUUCAUACCUAUGAUGUGUAAAUUGAUCAGUUCUUCAUCUUUUAUUAGUUUGUUUUAUUUCAUGGCCUACCCGUCCAUCCUACCUACCUACCUAUCACCUAUCGGUUAUUCCCAAAUAUAACGGAGACUGAUCAAUUCCAACAUCUUAACUACACAUCAAAUGUUAUUUCUUAUCCCUUUUAAACGAUCUAAAUUAUUGCGAAUUUAGAACUGAGAUUACCUGUCCCCUGAUUGUUUUCACCUUUAGUACUUAUCAGUUUCGCUCUUAGAUUGUAAUCAAACAUUAUUCUCAUGUGCUCUGUAGAAUUAAGAACUUGUCAUGUAGCACUAUUGUUAGAUUUAAUCAGUCUUCACGUGACACCAUAAUCUUACAUUAUAAGUAUUUUAGGAUCAUUAUUGUCACUAUAUGUACUCUCUUUAGCAUAAAUCACAGCCAGCCAUUUUGAGAAUACCUUCAAAAUAAAUGUUAACAGUCGUAACUUAUGAUCUUAAGCCUCAUGAAAUGUAAAACUGUUUUAGGAAUCCCUUUUUACUCUUAGAUAAUAGAAGUAAUGUUUCGAAGAUAAAUGGUUGCUUGACUUGCACUAUUACAUUACUAAUUAUCUUAUCACCUAGUCUAUGAAUGUCACUUAUCUAAUUAAGUACCUACUUUCGCUCAAUAAAUACGAAACAACAGUAAGCAUAUGUGAA
Molecule: long non-coding RNA, 12334 nt
Organism: Plodia interpunctella (Indianmeal moth)
Lineage: Eukaryota; Metazoa; Arthropoda; Insecta; Lepidoptera; Pyralidae
Exons: 2
Source: RefSeq, a predicted model, not a curated record